RNAcentral lists this ribosomal RNA (172 nucleotides) under uncultured bacterium. RNAcentral's name for it is "partial 16S ribosomal RNA". It matches the Rfam family "Bacterial small subunit ribosomal RNA", at positions 335 to 524 of the family's 1533-position model. The record is from RNAcentral.
ACUCCUACGGGAGGCAGCAGUGGGGAAUAUUGGACAAUGGGCGCAAGCCUGAUCCAGCCAUGCUGCGUGACUGAUGGUGGCCCUAGGGUUGUAAAGCUCUUUCGGCGGGGAAGAUAAUGACGGUACCCGCAGAAGAAGCCCCGCUUAACGUCGUGCCAGCAGCCGCGGUAAU